RNAcentral lists this ribosomal RNA (1519 nucleotides) under metagenome. Its description in RNAcentral is "bacterial LSU rRNA". It matches the Rfam family "Bacterial large subunit ribosomal RNA", at positions 1384 to 2925 of the family's 2925-position model. The record is from RNAcentral.
UCGGGGCCUAAGGCGAGGUCGAAAGACGUAGUCGAUGGAUAACAGGUUGAAAUUCCUGUACUAUCCUGUAACAGAACUGUGGGGACACAGGCAGAGAGCGUGAGCCGGGAAUGGAAAGACCGGUACAAGCGAGGUAGGAGAAGAGUUGGCAAAUCCGCUCUUUAAUCUGAAGACGUGAUGUGGACUGAAAAUAAGUAGGGAAGCACGUGAGCUGACUGUCAAGAAAAGCCGCUAUUGUUUGCAGGAUACCCGUACCGUAAACCGACACAGGUGGAUGAGGAGAGAAUCCUAAGGCCGACGGGAGAAGCAUUGUUAAGGAACUCGGCAAAAUGACUCCGUAACUUCGGGAGAAGGAGUGCCAGUAAGAUGGCCGCAGAGAAUUGGCCCAAGCAACUGUUUAGCAAAAACACAGGUCUAUGCAAAACCGAAAGGUGAGGUAUAUGGGCUGACGCCUGCCCGGUGCUGGAAGGUUAAGGGGAGAGGUUAGCGCAAGCGAAGCCUUGAACUUAAGCCCCAGUAAACGGCGGCCGUAACUAUAACGGUCCUAAGGUAGCGAAAUUCCUUGUCGGGUAAGUUCCGACCCGCACGAAAGGCGUAAUGAUUUGGGCACUGUCUCAACAAUGCACCCGGUGAAAUUGAAAUACCAGUGAAGAUGCUGGUUACCUGCGCCAGGACGGAAAGACCCCAUGGAGCUUUACUCCAGCUUGAUACUGGGAUUCGGUAUUGCAUGUACAGGAUAGGUGGGAGGCUAGGAAAUGGUAACGCCAGUUGCCAUGGAGCCAAUGUUGGGAUACCACCCUUGCAGUACUGGGUUUCUAACCAGCAGCCGUGAUCCGGCUGGGGGACAAUGUCAGGUGGGGAGUUUGACUGGGGCGGUCGCCUCCGAAAGGGUAUCGGAGGCGCUCAAAGGUUCCCUCAGAAUGGUUGGAAACCAUUCGAAGAGUGCAAAGGCAGAAGGGAGCUUGACUGCGACACCGACGGGUGGAGCAGGUACGAAAGUAGGACUUAGUGAUCCGGUGGUAUAAAGUGGGAUUGCCAUCGCUCAACGGAUAAAAGCUACCCUGGGAUAACAGGCUUAUCACUCCCAAGAGUUCACAUCGACGGAGUGGUUUGGCACCUCGAUGUCGGCUCAUCGCAUCCUGGGGCUGAAGUAGGUCCCAAGGGUUGGGCUGUUCGCCCAUUAAAGCGGUACGCGAGCUGGGUUCAGAACGUCGUGAGACAGUUCGGUCCCUAUCCGGCGUGGGCGUAAGAUAUUUGAGAGGAGCUGUCCUUAGUACGAGAGGACCGGGAUGGACUGGCCGCUGGUGUAUCUGUUGUCUUACCAAAGGCAUAGCAGAGUAGCCAAGCCGGGAAGGGAUAAACGCUGAAGGCAUCUAAGCGUGAAGCCCCCCUCAAGAUGAGAUAUCUCAUAACGUCAAGUUAGUAAGACCCCUUGAAGACGACGAGGUAGAUAGGGCAGAGGUGGAAGUGUGGUAACACAUGGAGCUGACUGUUACUAAUAGGUCGAGGGCAUAACCAA